CUACGGGUGGCAGCAGUGGGGAAUAUUGGACAAUGGGCGCAAGCCUGAUCCAGCAAUGCCGCGUGAGUGAAGACGGCCUUAGGGUUGUAAAACUCUUUCGCUAGGGAAGAUAAUGACUGUACCUAGUAAAGAAGUCCCGGCUAACUCCGUGCCAGCAGCCGCGGUAAUACGGAGGGGACUAGCGUUGUUCGGAAUUACUGGGCGUAAAGAGUUCGUAGGCGGACUGACAAGUUAGAGGUGAAAUCCCAGGGCUCAACCCUGGAACUGCCUUUAAAACUGUCAGUCUAGAGACCGGAAGAGGUUAGGGGAAUACCUAGUGUAGAGGUGAAAUUCGUAGAUAUUAGGUGGAACACCAGUGGCGAAGGCGCCUAACUGGUCCGGUACUGACGCUGAGGAACGAAAGCGUGGGGAGCAAACAGGAUUAGAUACCCGAGUAGUC
This 439-nucleotide ribosomal RNA is filed under the name uncultured bacterium. RNAcentral's name for it is "partial 16S ribosomal RNA". It matches the Rfam family "Bacterial small subunit ribosomal RNA", at positions 339 to 795 of the family's 1533-position model. The record is from RNAcentral.